GAAGAGGGGAGGAGGAUUUUUUAUUUCCCGUUUCUUCGGACCCUUCAACAUUUCUUCGAAAAUCUCAAAUCAAAUCCGACGGCCAAACAAAUCUGCGCCACCGUUAUCAACUUCAUUGACAUCAUCUACAACAUCGACGGUUUGAUACUUUCGAAAGAAGAGGGAAGGGAAAUCUUUGAUUUCCCGUUUCUUCGGACCUUUCAACAUUUCUUCAAAAAUGUCAAAUCAAAUUCGAUGGCCGAACAGAUCCACGCCACCGUAAUUAACUUCGUCGACGUCAUCUGCAACAUCGCAAGAAGAGAGAAG
RNAcentral lists this long non-coding RNA (306 nucleotides) under Ananas comosus (pineapple). RNAcentral describes it as "long non-coding RNA (ACOM_LNC041833)". The record is from RNAcentral. Lineage: Eukaryota; Viridiplantae; Streptophyta; Magnoliopsida; Poales; Bromeliaceae.